GAGAAAGACAUUUGACCAUGCUAGCCCAAUUAAAGAAAGAUACAUGUGGGCUUUUCCUCUAUUCUUCCAAUGAGGUGUGGACAUGUGUUUAAAAAGAGAAAACACCACAUGAAAUGAAGGUGGGGCUGGCUGCGCAAGAAAGGAACGGAGACAGGAACAGGAGCGGCAGCAGGGGAAUAGAGAAAGAAAGGAAGGGAGCACUACAUGGAUAGAAGAAGAGGAAUGCCUACGAGAUAAAAUGACAUUGUUUUAUUGGGAAGAAGCUUCAUGGGAUAAAGUUAGGAAUAUCAAAACUAUAUAUCUUGAGAGGCUUUGAGUUAGUAUCGGGCUUGAAGAUCAAUUUUAUUAAAAGCAAGAUGUACGGUAUUAACGUGGAUGACAACUUUAUCGCUGCGGCUGCAAGCUUCCUAUCUUGUAGUUUUGAUUCCAUUCCUUUCAAAUUUUUGGGUAUUCCGGUAGGUGCAAACCCGAGGAGACAAGAAUCUUGGCAACCGAUUGUAGAGUCAAUGAUAAAGAGACUAUCUAGCUGGAGUGGUCGUAAUCUCUCGAUUGGAGGUAGAGUCACUUUAAUUAACUCUGUGUUAUCGAGACUUCCGUUAUAUUUUUUCCCUUUUUAUAAGGCUCCUCGUUGUAUUAUUAAUAAAUUGGUGAGGAUCCAAAGGAACUUUCUUUGGGGGGAGGCUUGGAAGAUAAAAAACUUUGCUAGAUUAAGUGGGAACAAGUACGUUUACCUAAGGACAAGGGUGACUUAGGUGUUAAAGAUUUGGAGUUGUUAAACACGACAUUGUUGUGUAAAUGAAAAUGGCGAUGCUUAAAUGAGAAUGAUGCUUUCUGGUAUGAUCUUCUUUGUUACAGGUAUGGGCCGCUGUCCUCUAAAUUUCUAAGUUGGGAAGCGGUAGCAACCAACACUAAGGACUCGCUGUGGUGGAGAGACGUGGUGGGAGUCGGUGGGAAGGAUGGUGAUUGUUGGUUUCCUUUAAAUCUUAGUAGCAUAUUGGGUAAUGGUGACUCUAUAUGCUUUUGGAAAGAGAAAUGGUUUGGUGCUGCUCCUUUAAGGGAUUUAUUUCCUCACUUAUAUGAUAAGGAUCUUCAUAAAGACUGCAUGGUUUCAGACUUAAUUCAUGCCGACACUUCAGUGUUGCAUUGGAACUCAGACUGGGUAGACACUUUAUCGCAAGAGGAAGCUGCUGAAAUGGCUGAUUUGGAGCAGCUCUUGACUGGUCUGGAUCGGCACGUGGAUAGGGAAGAUAGAUGACGUUGGGCGUUGAAUGAUUCAGGCCUUUUUAGUGUCAAAUCUGUCUAUAUUUUUUGCAACCGUGGUUGGAUUCACUUAGUUUAGAAUCAGAUUUACUUCAUGCUUUGCACAAAUUGUGGAAGAAUGGUGUUCCAUCAAAAGUGGGAGUCUUUGGUUGGCGUUUGCUUCUUGAGAUGAUCCCUACUCACGCCGCUUUAGCAUCUAAAGGUACUAUUUUAUUGCUCUAGUGGGAUUGUCAUCGUGUACUUGCUUUGGCUUGGAGGAUGAUGUUUUCACUUGGUUGAUUUGGUACUGGUGGCAUGAAGUUAAUUUGGGUGCAUUUGAUUGUUAGCAGGUUAUAGCACUGUCAAAAUAGUGUUUUUUUUU
This is a long non-coding RNA of Trifolium pratense (red clover), 1621 nucleotides long. RefSeq lists it as uncharacterized. The record is from RefSeq and is a predicted model, not a curated record. The transcript has 3 exons. NCBI's taxonomy places the organism in Eukaryota, Viridiplantae, Streptophyta, Magnoliopsida, Fabales, Fabaceae.